This 64-nucleotide ribosomal RNA is filed under the name Knoxdaviesia capensis. Its description in RNAcentral is "partial 28S ribosomal RNA". The record is from RNAcentral. Lineage: Eukaryota; Fungi; Ascomycota; Sordariomycetes; Microascales; Gondwanamycetaceae.
AAAGGUUGACCUCGAAUCAGGUAGGAAUACCCGCUGAACUUAAGCAUAUCAAUAGCCGGAGGAA